Cyprinus carpio carpio is the source of this 2430-nucleotide long non-coding RNA. The record is from Ensembl. NCBI's taxonomy places the organism in Eukaryota, Metazoa, Chordata, Actinopteri, Cypriniformes, Cyprinidae.
UGUGGACUCGAUAGCGGAGGAGUCUCCCGUUUAGAUACGUAGUUGAGCAAUAGACUUUUUAAUCUCGAGGGAGAUGGAUUUGUUUUUGUCAGACUCUCGACAUGGCAUUAGUCUGUUUGAACUGCUUUGAAGGCAUUCCACCGGUGCAGUUUGUUGCAUUCUCUUGGUCUUUUUGGACCACCUACUUUCCAGAUUUUUGUACAAAAGACUUGUGAACGUGAAAGACAGAGCGGUUUCAGAUUUUCCUUCAUCCUUGCCAAGAAUAUGCCUUGACGAAAAGUAUACUAGUUUUCAAAGUAUGUACAUCCAUUCCAAAAGUUAUCCAGUAUCGCGACGCCACCCAGUGGUUUGGUUGGUUUGUGCAGUUUGAAGCUCUCUCGUUUGGCUUGUUGGGAAAUCACUGCUGAUGGUUGAAUAUAUCUAUUUCGUUUUUUUUUUUUCUUUUUCUUUUUUUUUUUCGCUGAUACGAGUGAUUACAUAGCAGUGCUUAACUGGCUAUGAACUAUUUAACUUAUUUAUUUUAUCUUGUGAAAAGUAUAGGCUACAUUGUUAAUUGUCCAUACUGUAUUUAUCGAGUAUGAUGAAGCAAUAGAUCUAUAUUCUUUUAUUAUGUUUAAAUUAUGAUCGCCAUUAUUAAUCUACAUAAAGUGGAGUCUGAAAAGUCUUUGGUCUGGCCUUAUUGGCUCUCUCCGCCAGAGGCCUAUAAUGAAUCAGUCGGAAAGAGGAUUCCACAGUGUUUUUCUCCGGUUCGGAUAAACACAUGUUUUUUCCAUUCACCCUCUCAAGGAAGCACCAAGCUUGUGAGUAACUUGACCUGCAUUUCAAAGACGCUGUUCAUCAUAUUGUAGUCGGCUGUCAGUUGGCUUGGAAAAUAUGGCUAAACUUCCUCGGGCAACCUCAGAGCUAUUGAAGAGAUAACAAGAGGGGAGAUUGUUUGGAGCAAUAAAUCCUGACAUGAUAAUAAAUGGUAAUCAAGUGAGCAACUUUUCAGAAUCUCUUGUGCCAACAGCCACAGAUGUUUGUUGAUGUCUGUCUCGAUUCUUUCAUCGGUGUUACAUGAGGACAUGGCUUUGUGAACAUGAAUUGUGCCUGACGUUCUCAGUGCCGAUGGCUAUUAAGUUAUGCAAUGUGUGCAUGCCAAAAUGGUCUGAUUAAUGAGGAAAGUUCUGCAGUGCUGCAGUCUGCGUUAACCUUUUUACAGUUAUGUUCAAGAAUGGCUAUGCACAGUGGGGUUUUCUUCAGUGUUCGAAUGUAUUUGGACCUAACAUAGAAAUGUAAUCGAUAUAUGAAGAGUUCAGAUUCAAAAGCCUCUAAAUUUUCUUCUAAAAUGAGCAUUUUUCUCAGGCUCCUAUGUGUAGGUUCAGUAGUUUCACUUUAAUGGCAGUGAAUGUGUUCUUUUCAUUUUCAUUAACACCAAAUAACUGAACAUAAACAUAGGAGCCUGAGAAAAAUGCUCAUUUUAGAAGAAAAUUUCACCUUGAGGCUUUUGCAUCUAAAGUCUUCUUAUAUAUACAUUUAAACAUAAACUUAAAUCUUAAAUUAUUUAGGUAUACUCAGCUUCAGAAAUAUUAAAAUCUUUACAAAUCCUUUAUUGAUAGUUAUUAAAAGUAUGUAUAUGUAUAUAGUUCCUUUUUACUACUGUCACAUGCAAACAAAAUAAAAACAUAAAUGGUUAAGAAAUGACAGAAGUUUCAUUCAUUUUUAUCAUUUAAAGUUUAGUGUUACAAAGUGUGAAUUCUUUGAAAUGUGGUGUUACGAACAUCAUAAAUCAAAUGAGUUAAACAUGUUAAAUAAAUAUGAUGGAAUUAAAACCAUUGGAUUUUACUCAUUGAUUAAAUUAAUUAAAAUUAAUCAAUUUAUUCCAUCAGUUCAAUAUUCAAUGAACUUAAAAGGAUUAAGUCUGUAUUAGAAGGUAUUUUUUUUUUUUUCACUAAACCAUAUAAUGCCAUUAACAUUAUAUGGUUUAGUCUUGGGUAAAGUGAGGGAAUUUAAAAAACGAAUUAAAACUAAAUAGAAAUAUUAAAAAAUGAAGAGUAAUAAAACAAAUGACAAAAAUAUAACAAAAUUUCUUAAACUAAAUAUCACAAUUAAAAACUGAAAAUAUAACAAGUAAAGCUAAAUCAAAAACUGAAUAAACACUAUAAUAGUAUAUAAAUAAUACUAAAAUAAUAUUAAACUAGACAUGUUACAUUAAUUGCCCUGUUAUAUAUAUAUAUAUAUAUAUAUAUAUAUAUAUAUAUAUAUAUAUAUAUAUAUAUAUAUAUAUAUAUAUAUAUAUAUAUAUAUAUUAAAAUCAUAAAAGUCCAGAUGUGUUGAAACUUGCUUUCCACAGAGAUCCAUAUAUUCUAAGGACGCAUGCCAAAAUGUGUGCAAUUAUAUUCAAAGUAACAUUUUAUUUUGCAUUUUCUUGUGACACAUUGUAUUUUAAUA